RNAcentral lists this long non-coding RNA (1491 nucleotides) under Equus asinus (donkey). Its description in RNAcentral is "lncRNA (ENSEASG00005035631.1)". The record is from RNAcentral. Lineage: Eukaryota; Metazoa; Chordata; Mammalia; Perissodactyla; Equidae.
AUUCACGAUAUUGUGCAGCCAUCGUCUCUAUCUGAUUCCAAACAUUUUCGUCACCCACAGAGGAGACCCCUUAACCAGUAAGUAGUCACUUCCCAUUCCCACCUCCCCUCAGCCACUGGCAACCUCUAGUCCGCUUUCUGUUUCUAUGGAUUCAUCUAUUCUGAAAAUUUGAUAUAAAUGGAACCCUACAUCACUUGACAUUCUGUGUCUAGGUUCUUUUGCUUCACAUAUGUUGUUUCUCUUUAAGACCAAGGAGACAAUGGGAAGGAGCCAGUCGAGGAGGCAGAAGUUGAAAACACAGGAGACAAGGAGAGCAGGAGAUCAGGUUCUCUGUCGGGAGAGAAGCAAGAAAGUGGAGCUGCAGGAGUUUCUGUAAGUGUCCAGGAGGGGCUGCGCAUCCUCCCAGGGCCGUCCGUGCUUGUGUCGUCUAAAAGCACAAGAGCUGAAAACUGCACGCUGGCGAUUCAACUCGCUGUGUCAAAUACCACACAAGGCCAACCCUGAACAAGACCAGAGAAACCUCCUGGAACAGGAAGCAGAGCGGUGGAAAAUGCCCACACUUUAGAGCCAGAUGGACGUGGGUCCAGUCUUGGCUCUUCUCCCACUCCCCGGGUGAUCUUGGGCAAUUUACUUCUCUUCCUUGAGUCUCAGUUGUCCCUUCUUCACUUUGACAACUUGGAACAGGGAACAGAGGGAGGCAAGGUCUGGAUUAAUUCUGAAGGAGAAGCUACCAGCCGCCCCUCUGGAGAGAUAGGAGAGUCAUGUUGGGGCAAGCCUUUUUCUUAUGAAGAGCUGCUGUUUGCCACCUUUUACUUAAAACUGUGUAUCUAUUUUGCAAACAGGCCCCUUGCCCGAGGUAUCAGAUCACUGUCUUUGUCAAAUAAAGGAAUAACAGGACUUUUUGCUUGACUUAGCUAGGGGGACCCUCACCAAGACCCCUUGAUAGGCAAUGUUCUGAAGGGGUGGGGGGGAGGAAAGGAACUAAGACCCCUACCCCUGGCUCCCUGAGAUUUAAACUUACAAAAACUUGUUGGGGUGUCAUUGACUAAAGUCUGAUGGCAAGAAAAGGACACCCCAGGCCACAAAAGGUUAUAGGGAAUCUGGGAUGGUGACCUCCACACAGGCGCAUAGAGGCAAUCCAGAGGCAGCCACCCUGGCACAGUGUCAACUCUGGGAAUGCGUAUGUGUAUUGAUUAAAAGCAUUGCCAACCUAAAGCCUGGCAUGUGGCACUACUGUGGGCUGGAAAGGACCUGUACCAGCAAGGGCAUCCCCAACAGACAGGGCAAGUGCGCGCUGACCUGAGCAAAAACAGUUUCCAACAGCGACACCUCGUGGCGGCAACUGAAACAACAGUGCUGGUGAGUAGGCUUGAGACGCAAUAUCGACCUCCUUGGACUAAGAAUUUACGCUUCUUGGAAAGUUUAAAGGGACAGCUCAAGAGGUAGAUGACUAGACUUCCUGCUAAUAAAGGUAGUGUUAUUAAAGGAGUU